UACAGGGGGGGCAAGCGUUGUUCGGAAUUACUGGGCGUAAAGGGUUCGUAGGUGGCCACUUAAGUCAGACGUGAAAUCCCUCAGCUUAACUGGGGAGCUGCGUCUGAUACUGAGUGGCUUGAGUGCAGGAGAGGAAUGCGGAAUUCCAGGUGUAGCGGUGAAAUGCGUAGAUAUCUGGAGGAACACCGGUGGCGAAGGCGGCAUUCUGGACUGUAACUGACACUGAGGAACGAAAGCCAGGGGAGCAAACGGG
RNAcentral lists this ribosomal RNA (253 nucleotides) under uncultured bacterium. RNAcentral's name for it is "partial 16S ribosomal RNA". It matches the Rfam family "Bacterial small subunit ribosomal RNA", at positions 524 to 776 of the family's 1533-position model. The record is from RNAcentral.